RNAcentral lists this ribosomal RNA (392 nucleotides) under uncultured bacterium. Its description in RNAcentral is "partial 16S ribosomal RNA". It matches the Rfam family "Bacterial small subunit ribosomal RNA", at positions 523 to 918 of the family's 1533-position model. The record is from RNAcentral.
AUACGGAGGAUCCGAGCGUUAUCCGGAUUUAUUGGGUUUAAAGGGUGCGCAGGCGGCCAUUUAAGUCAGCGGUUAAAUCGUGGGGCUCAACCCCAUUCUGCCGUUGAUACUGGGUGGCUUGAUUGCGGUCGAGGUUGGCGGAAUUCGUUGUGUAGCGGUGAAAUGCACAGAUAUGACGAAGAACACCGAUUGCGUAGGCAGCUGACCAGACCGCAAAUGACGCUCAUGCACGAAAGUGCGGGGAUCGAACAGGAUUAGAUACCCUGGUAGUCCGCACAGUAAACGAUGAAUACUUGUUUUCGGCGAUAUAAUGUCGGAGGCAAAGCGAAAGCGAUAAGUAUUCCACCUGGGGAGUACGCCGGCAACGGUGAAACUCAAAUGAAUUGACGGGG